GCAAGCCUGAUCCAGCAAUGCCGCGUGUGUGAAGAAGGCCUUCGGGUUGUAAAGCACUUUUAUCAGGAGCGAAAUACUACGGGUUAAUAACCCGUGGGGCUGACGGUACCUGAGGAAUAAGCACCGGCUAACUUCGUGCCAGCAGCCGCGGUAAUACGAAGGGUGCAAGCGUUAAUCGGAAUUACUGGGCGUAAAGGGUGCGUAGGCGGUUCGUUAAGUCUGUUGUGAAAUCCCCGGGCUCAACCUGGGAAUGGCAAUGGAUACUGGCGAGCUAGAGUGUGUCAGAGGAUGGUGGAAUUCCCGGUGUAGCGGUGAAAUGCGUAGAGAUCGGGAGGAACAUCAGUGGCGAAGGCGGCCAUCUGGGACAACACUGACGCUGAAGCACGAAAGCGUGGGGAGCAAACAGGAUUAGAUACCCUGGUAGUCCACGCCCUAAACGAUGCGAACUGGAUGUUGGUCUCAACUCGGAGAUCAGUGUCGAAGCUAACGCGUUAAGUUCGCCGCCUGGGGAGUACGGUCGCAAGACUG
Molecule: ribosomal RNA, 528 nt
Filed under: Rhodanobacter sp. D47
Lineage: Bacteria; Pseudomonadati; Pseudomonadota; Gammaproteobacteria; Lysobacterales; Rhodanobacteraceae
Description: bacterial SSU rRNA
Rfam family: Bacterial small subunit ribosomal RNA
Source: RNAcentral